AUGAGGAUGGGGAGCUUAAGGAGACACAGAGACAGGAGAGCUCUGGGACACAUCAUGCUUUAUUGUGCUGGAGCACAGCCUCAUGGAGCAGCAGUGGGGGAGCAGCAGUGGUGUCCCUCAGGGGUGGGGGCACACAGAGGGUCUCAGCAAGAUGCCCUGGGGAGUGCAGAGCUCUGUGGUGCUCCAUCACUUCAUCUUCUGCGACGGCAGCUGGUGGACCUGCUGCUGCUGCUGCUGCUGCUGCUGCUGCUGGUGGUAGUGGUANNNNNNNNNNNNNNNNNNNNNNNNNNNNNNNCCGGAGCUGUGACAGCCACCACCACCAGAACUGUGACAGCCACCACUGCUACCAGAGCUGUGACAGCCACCACUGCCACCACCGGAGCUGUGACAGCCGCCACCGGAGCUGUGACAGCCGCUGCUCUGCCGGGUGUAGCGCUCCUGUGAGUGGCACUGGUCCUUGUCCUGACGGGAGCACAUGGCUGAGUGCUGGGUGUCCUAUGGAGAGAGGGGCUGUCAGGACAUCCUGCUUCUGCCUUGCCAAGGAAAAGGAAUCUGGAAGUUACAUUUAUGCGCUCCUCCCAGCUCCCACAGCCACUAAACCUCAGAAUCACAGAGCCAUACAAUGCCGGGGUUGGAAAAGACCUCCACGAUCCUCAGGACCAUCAGCCUGCCCUACUGAGUGUGGUCACUGAGCCUCUCUGUUAGCACAUCACCAAUCUGCAGAGCAACUCCCAGCACCUUUCCCCUUCUCCGCACUCUGCUCUCCUGCAGCAUCCCCCUUCCCAAGCCCUGUGCUCCCUCCUCACCCCAUCUCCCCAUUAGGAGAACCCACAGUGCAGCCCAGGGAUGCUGCAGGGCUCAGCCUUCUCCCAGCCCUUCUACCUCCAUAGAGGUUUGGGUGCUGCCCUGAGCUCUGCAGCACCACUGCUCUUACCGCGCUUCUCUGCAGUGAAGGGACGCGGAGAUGAUGAGGCUCUCUGGGACCACAGUGCUUUUAUACCUUUUACCCACUCCGGAAGUGGAACACCUCCCCAUUGCAGAACUCUAUCUGCUUAUUUCAUUCAUCAAAGUUUUUUUUUUUUACUUGCCUCCCCACUCUUUGGGUUGCUGUAUGACUCACCGUGGCUGCGCUGGGCAUCGCCUCUCCGCGUUGGUUCGUUCCUGUGCUGCAAAGAUGUUUAAUUGCCAACCCUCCCCGUGCUGAGCCCCACUGGGGAGUGUGGGUGGCCCUGAUUUCCACAACGUGUUUUGGUGUUCACUGCAGCAG
RNAcentral lists this long non-coding RNA (1267 nucleotides) under Chrysolophus pictus (golden pheasant). Its description in RNAcentral is "lncRNA (ENSCPIG00010000044.1)". The record is from RNAcentral. Lineage: Eukaryota; Metazoa; Chordata; Aves; Galliformes; Phasianidae.